Molecule: ribosomal RNA, 1403 nt
Filed under: Klebsiella variicola
Lineage: Bacteria; Pseudomonadati; Pseudomonadota; Gammaproteobacteria; Enterobacterales; Enterobacteriaceae
Description: bacterial SSU rRNA
Rfam family: Bacterial small subunit ribosomal RNA
Source: RNAcentral
ACCAUGCAAGUCGAGCGGUAGCACAGAGAGCUUGCUCUCGGGUGACGAGCGGCGGACGGGUGAGUAAUGUCUGGGAAACUGCCUGAUGGAGGGGGAUAACUACUGGAAACGGUAGCUAAUACCGCAUAACGUCGCAAGACCAAAGUGGGGGACCUUCGGGCCUCAUGCCAUCAGAUGUGCCCAGAUGGGAUUAGCUGGUAGGUGGGGUAACGGCUCACCUAGGCGACGAUCCCUAGCUGGUCUGAGAGGAUGACCAGCCACACUGGAACUGAGACACGGUCCAGACUCCUACGGGAGGCAGCAGUGGGGAAUAUUGCACAAUGGGCGCAAGCCUGAUGCAGCCAUGCCGCGUGUGUGAAGAAGGCCUUCGGGUUGUAAAGCACUUUCAGCGGGGAGGAAGGCGGUGAGGUUAAUAACCUCAUCGAUUGACGUUACCCGCAGAAGAAGCACCGGCUAACUCCGUGCCAGCAGCCGCGGUAAUACGGAGGGUGCAAGCGUUAAUCGGAAUUACUGGGCGUAAAGCGCACGCAGGCGGUCUGUCAAGUCGGAUGUGAAAUCCCCGGGCUCAACCUGGGAACUGCAUUCGAAACUGGCAGGCUAGAGUCUUGUAGAGGGGGGUAGAAUUCCAGGUGUAGCGGUGAAAUGCGUAGAGAUCUGGAGGAAUACCGGUGGCGAAGGCGGCCCCCUGGACAAAGACUGACGCUCAGGUGCGAAAGCGUGGGGAGCAAACAGGAUUAGAUACCCUGGUAGUCCACGCUGUAAACGAUGUCGAUUUGGAGGUUGUGCCCUUGAGGCGUGGCUUCCGGAGCUAACGCGUUAAAUCGACCGCCUGGGGAGUACGGCCGCAAGGUUAAAACUCAAAUGAAUUUGACGGGGGGCCCGCACAAGCGGUGGAGCAUGUGGUUUAAUUUCGAUGCAACGCGAAGAACCCUUACCUGGUUCUUGACAUCCACAGAACUUUCCAGAGAUGCAUUGGUGCCCUUUCGGGGAACUGUGAGACAGUGCUGCAUGGCUGUCGUCAGCUCGUGUUGUGAAAUGUUGGGUUAAGUCCCGCAACGAGCGCAACCCUUAUCCUUUGUUGCCAGCGGUUAGGCCGGGAACUCAAAGGAGACUGCCAGUGAUAAACUGGAGGAAGGUGGGGAUGACGUCAAGUCAUCAUGGCCCUUACGACCAGGGCUACACACGUGCUACAAUGGCAUAUACAAAGAGAAGCGACCUCGCGAGAGCAAGCGGACCUCAUAAAGUAUGUCGUAGUCCGGAUUGGAGUCUGCAACUCGACUCCAUGAAGUCGGAAUCGCUAGUAAUCGUAGAUCAGAAUGCUACGGUGAAUACGUUCCCGGGCCUUGUACACACCGCCCGUCACACCAUGGGAGUGGGUUGCAAAAGAAGUAGGUAGCUUAACC